ACGAGAAUUCUCUUGAUAAUGGUGCCAAGGAAGAUCUCAGUAGAACUGAAGAGGCACCGCGUCCGACACAAAUUCAAGGGAAUUUUGAUUAAAUCGAGAAAUUGCAUUGAAACAGGAAGGUACCUGGUGAGGAAGACGGUAGAGGAAGAAGCGGGAGGUCCUCAACAAGA
Molecule: non-coding RNA, 170 nt
Organism: Arachis ipaensis
Lineage: Eukaryota; Viridiplantae; Streptophyta; Magnoliopsida; Fabales; Fabaceae
Source: RefSeq, a predicted model, not a curated record